Molecule: long non-coding RNA, 944 nt
Organism: Ricinus communis (castor bean)
Lineage: Eukaryota; Viridiplantae; Streptophyta; Magnoliopsida; Malpighiales; Euphorbiaceae
Exons: 2
Source: RefSeq, a predicted model, not a curated record
CUGUUCUUGAGGGAAUUAAAUUCCCAACUUUACUCUUGCAAUAGUGUCGGUUGAUUAUAUUAUAUUGAGGGCAAAAAUCUCAUAAUCUCUAAAGCUCUGGUACUUAAAUUUUGUUUUUUGGUAGCUAAAUGGAGAUGUCAAAUUGAGUGCAACAAGCAAAGUGAAAAUUGUUGCUACAGAUUAAUAUAAAAAAGCAUAGCAAGCCAAAGUUUCUUCUUGAACGCUAUGUGAAAAGCAAGACUAAGAGAGAGAAACUGUAGAAAGUGGGACUCCAUGUCAAUAAUAAGACACACUUAAAGAUACUCUCUCUCUCUUUCUCUCUCUCUCUCUCUACACUACUACUUCAUCAUCCUCACGUAUAUAAGGGCCCAUUAAAGCCAAUGCAUGGCCAAAUCAAAAUGAAAGACUCUCUCUCUCUCUCUCUCUCUCUAGUUUAUGCCCAGUUUGAGGGGAAUGCUGUCUGGUUCGAGACCAUUCGCUUGAUGCCACCCAUCACAGCUUCUGAAUGAUCUCGGACCAGGCUUCAUUCCCCCCAACCUAAAGAAAGAAAUUCAAGGAACCCCUCCUGGGCAUUGUCUGAUCCUACGAGUUUUGUCAAUCUUUUCAUAAAAGAAAGAGCAUGCAUGUCUUAACGAAGAUCAAGAAUACAAAUUCAUAUAAAUCUAAUAUCAAAGUUUCCAGGAUGCAACAAGGUAUAAUUGCCUGUGUUAAAUCCAACAUAUGUUUGUAUAUAUAUACACAAGACAUAUAUGUAGCUUCUCUUUUAAUGAUGACUAGAAUUGGCAAUGUGAUCUCGUUUCUCAUUGAUGAAUUGAAGAUCAAUCUUUCUUGGGAAUUGUAACCAAAAGGAUCUUGAAUCUUGCACCAAAUAAUUUUUUCAAAAGAAAGUUAGAUUAAUAAAAUGUCUAGUAAUAUCAGUUCUUUGCUGAAUAUAUAUUUUGAAA